GGGGCCAGACUGUGCUUAGCAGGUCCCAUUGCACCCCUGUUCUUGUUCUCACAGAGGGAGACAGUGCAGACGACAGACCCCCACAACUGCCAUUAGGGACAGGGAGGCGUGGACAGGGAAGGGCCCCAAGGGAGAUCCCGGCAGGCUCCCUACAGACGCCACCCAAGGACAUCCCGGGUGCCUGGUGGUCUCUGUCUACAGACUCUCACAUGUGACUCUCCCUCUGGUAACAGGCGUACGAGCGCGGCAUCUCGCUGUUCAAGUGGCCCAACGUGUCCGACAUCUGGAGCACCUACCUGACCAAAUUCAUUGCCCGCUAUGGGGGCCGCAAGCUGGAGCGGGCACGGGACCUGUUUGAACAGGCUCUGGACGGCUGCCCCCCAAAAUAUGCCAAGACCUUGUACCUGCUGUACGCACAGCUGGAGGAGGAGUGGGGCCUGGCCCGGCAUGCCAUGGCCGUGUACGAGCGCGCCACCAGGGCCGUGGAGCCCGCCCAGCAGUACGACAUGUUCAACAUCUACAUCAAGCGGGCGGCCGAGA
RNAcentral lists this small RNA (540 nucleotides) under Pan troglodytes (chimpanzee). Its description in RNAcentral is "retained intron". The record is from RNAcentral. Lineage: Eukaryota; Metazoa; Chordata; Mammalia; Primates; Hominidae.